Non-coding RNA from Peromyscus maniculatus bairdii (prairie deer mouse), 618 nucleotides. The record is from RefSeq and is a predicted model, not a curated record. Lineage: Eukaryota; Metazoa; Chordata; Mammalia; Rodentia; Cricetidae.
UCCCGCCCCAGCCGCACCCCGAACUGCUACCUUCGCGCUCUUCCACACACACCACGUGGUUUGGCAGCGCCAAACCGCUGCUCACGCCUCUGUUCUCCUCCGCCAUUCGCCCACUCUCCGGACGAAGCAGCAACCUCUCACCAGGAGCACAACCAUCUCCUCGCCCUGUCCUGAGUGUCAGCUGAGGUUGCAAAAGGGCGAGGCUAAGUCUUGGACCAGAAGUGGCUCGAUACAGAACUCUUGGCACUUUUUCCACUGGAAGUGAGAGCAGGAGAAUGAAAUCCAGAUGCAGAACUCUCAGCUCCUUCUCCAGCACCAUGGCUGCCAGUGUGCUGCCACGCUUCCCGCCAUGAACUGGCCACUCCUAAGUAUUUGUCACAAUUGGACUUUCUUUUUGGAUCCCUUGUGGCCUCUAUCAGGAUUACAAUUUUCUGGAGGACCCAGGGAAAUCAGACCACCUACCUAAAUUCCAAAGUGAGACCUUCACUUCAGGACUCUGGGGCUGAGGGGCCACCUCAGGAGGUGCACACCUUGAGAUGUUCCAAUGCUUCAGGGCAUGCUGUUGGUUUCACAGAUUAUCAGAGUGAACUGCCUUGCUGAGGAAAGCAGCAAGCGUCU